CUGCCAUGAAGAUCUAGGGUCCCAGUCAAUUUCACACUGCUGAUGGUGCUAAACGUAAAGUGCUUAUGCAUAGGAGAACAAUUCAAAUCAAUUUUCCUUCCACAGCAACUGGCAUCUGAAUACUUGUGACUUCAAGGUGAUAGUGUGUGAAUGUGUGCAUCAAUGUUCUGAAGGAGUUUUGACUAACUUGCUUAUUUCCACUUUAUUUUCAGCACUGAAGUUAUUAAUGAAAAUAUGCUAUUUGUUAAUCUGUUUCACAAAUGGACUAAGGAAUACUGUCAAGUAAAAAAUCUGCUUCAAAUUUCAGAACUACUCAUGGGCUAUUCAGUGGGAUUAAAGUGGUAGAAUCUGGACCUAAACAGAGCCAUCAAUCCUAAUGAAAAUGGACACUAAGAUGAAGCAUCCAGUGAACAGACAUGGAAGACGGCAUGAGAACUGCAUCAGAGAGACCAACUGGCGGCUUCAGCAGUGGUGUCUUGAGGCAGGCUUCGGCUUCCUGGACAACGACCUGCACAUUACAAUGAGGGACAUGCUCAGCUGGGAUGGGCUUCACCUGUCCCCCAAAGGGGCAGACCUUGCGUGACCCGAGUGACAGGAGGCAUGCCCAGGCAAGGGUCAGCCCCUGGCGUAUUGAGCAUGUGUGCUCCAUGCAGGGAUGUGCAGUUUCGGGUGUCUAUCAUGGUGAGAGUUGCUGGGUCUGCAGGGUCUUUUGUCUUUCAAAGUUUGGUCUUGUCUCUGUUCCUGAGUGAGGGCCGUGGUUCCUGGAUGAAUCAAUGCGAGGUGAUGGCCCAGUCAUUACAGGCCAUUCAGUAGAGGCCUCCUACCAUUGUAUUUCAGUCAUUCCCAAUUAUUCUCAUUCAUCCGGUAGCCAAUUUACAUGGGAGGGGUAUGUGACUCAUACAGUUGCAAAGUGGGAUGCCCAGGCAGAGGACACAAGAUGGAGACUUGACAUUUAAAAUGGAAACUUGACAUGGCUUUGGUUCACUUACAAAUACAGGCCUAACCCAUACAAUAUACAUAUGAAACAAUAACAAUCGAUAUGAAAAUGAUAAUAAUACAAUAUACAACAGUAAAAAUCAAUACAAACCUAAUAAUAAUGCAAUAUAAAACAGUGGAUAUCCAAAACCAAAAACUUGCUACCAAAAUAAAAAUGUUUAAAGCUUAUCCCAAGUCUGAGCUCACUUAUACUUAUCUAUAGGGAAAAGAGAGGGAGAGAAAGUCAGAAAUGGUUGGGGAAGGGGAGGGAAUGCAUUUAAGAACCCCCCCCCCCCCCCAAAAAAUAAAUAAAUAAAUAAAACCAGGGAGUUUUGCUACAUUAAUAAAUUGGGAUUCGGAAUUAUGGUGGAGCGGGGAUGUUAGCUGGUUAUCUUCCCAUAAGGUAGGAGCAGAGAGGGAAGACCUUUUGUGGGGAGAUACUGCUCCUGCCCUGAAAAGGAAGCCCCAACUUAAUGGGGCCCCAAUCCAGUCCCCUGCCUUCUUCUCCCCCUAACUUCCUAAACUCCACUCCUGGAUCCUGGCUAGCUGACAGUUACUUUGCAGUCUGUUUUCAUGGGGUUACACUUCUGGGGUGGGCAGGUCACACCCCCAAAUGUGGGGGUUGGAGUGGGCUUGGUUUAUUGCCUAUCACAUCACCUUGCUGCCCCCUGGGCAGUAAAGAGGAGUGGAAAGUUUGUCUACACAAAAACCCACCCUGGGGUUGAAUAAUUUUAAGCCACCUAAAGUAUUUUUAAAACUAAUGUGUUAGUUUGUCAAUGAUCCAAAGGUUAAACACUCCAGGAGGAUCCUAAAAUUAUGAUGUAACAAGGCCCUAACAAAGCCAGCCCCCCACAAAAUAAUUUCUUCAGCAGGUUUUUUUUUUUGUUUUGUUUUGUUUUUUUUUAUGGUCUAAAUAGACUGUUGAUUUGAUAGGUAAUACUUAGAUAUUGAUGUACUGUGCCAAAAGUCUCAAUCCUCAGUGGACCAUUUAAGCUCAGAACUGAAGAACAGAGGCUCAUAGUCAUUGAAAAUAUCCUCUGGAAUCUCAUGCCUUUCAAAUAUGGCCUUAAGGUUGGCUGCCACUGAUUGUCCAGUACUAUUUGGAAAAAUCAUACUUCUGGAUAUAGCAAAUAAUAGUCUAUAAAAAUAUGUGUUUGAAUUCAACACAAAUAAAUCAAUAUCAACCUUUCAUAUAUCCUAGAUGGAACAGGUUGAGGUUGUAGUGGCUCAGUCUGCUAACAUGGCUGAACCUUAAACAGUUGUAACUGUUUUCUACUAUGUUUGUAAUGUCAUUAUUUAUCUUGGGCCAGUACAUCACUUUGGGUGCUCACUUUUUAUAUUUCUUGAUUCUUUAAUGGCCCCCAUGCUUCUUCUGCAGCAAUUCUUUUAGGAGGUUCCUCAGUGCCACCAAUUUAGUGCCUUUAAAAAAUAUCCUUUCUGCCACAAAUGUCUGCAAUUCCAGUAAUCUGAUACAUCUGUGUUGCAGUCACUUUUGUAAUCUGGCCAACUUUUAACUAUAAAUUCUUUCAAGAGUGCCAAUGAAUUUCGUUUCUGUUAUUUGCUGCAGCUUCCUACCUGCUAUAAGGAGUGACUUGACAAUUAAGUCUAUAUAAGCCUUCAUGUCUGUCUCAAAAGUCUUUUCUGGUCUCCUAGUCAUGUGUAGCUCAAGACAGUGCAUCCACAGUAAAUAUAAGUUUACCUGGUGCGUACAUCACAAUUAAAUCAUAUUUUUGCAGAUUGAACAUCAUUCUUUGAAUGAGCAAGAUCAACCAUUUAAAGGCUUGUUAAAUAAUGGUAUCAGGUGACUGUAGUCUGUUUUCACACAUGCCUGACCAUACGUAUAACAGUGAAAUAUCUCAUAUGCAAAUGUACUAUGUACCGAUCACCGGAUUCAGUAAAUACAGGCAUAUGGGAAUGAGAAGAAUUAAAAAGCAGGUAAUAAAGAAAUAAAUGCAAGUUUUAUUUGUGGAGCACUAAGCAAGUUUCUGCAGUCCUUUAGUCUCUGACUAACUGACCUGUGGAACCAUCUCCCACAUCCCAACCACAGUAGUCUUUCAAGUAAGGGAACAUCUCCAAAUUACAAUUUAUAUCUCUACAACUGGAAAUCCUUAUCUGAAUGUACCUGUUAUUAAAAAUUAUUCUAUUUUGAUCAAGUCCAUUUAAAGAUCAGUCAGAGGGUUGGGCUGGUUCUACUGUUUUCAGAACCAAUUCAAAUAUUUGUGAUACAACCUUUAAAAAAUGGAUAAGGACCUAAAGCCAUGUUAUGCCUUCCAAAGAUAGAAAAUGUAAUUGUACUAUAUUUGUAUUAAAAUAAAAAGCCUCUAUUGUCCCACCUCGUGCCACCAUUGCUGUAGACUGUGGUAUGUUUGCAAUUCAUUGUAUUUUAUUUUUAUCACAUGUUAACCAAGAGCAGGUCCAUAAUGCUCCAAGUACUAUAGCAUACUAGAAAGCCCUAUCCCAAGAUACUUACAGUGAAAGGCAGGUGGAGUGAAAUGAAUGGACUGUGGGGGACUGGAUAAGAGGGACUUGAAUUAAACAGUCAAUCAGAAAGUUGGAGUGAGAAUUGUGGAAAACAUGGUGAUGACAGGGCUGGCUGGAGUAUUUCUUGGCCUGGGAUGGAAGAAGGGGGUGCCUACCUUAAAUGCAUCUCUUGCCCAAAAGCAGAAAUCUUGGGGAAGUGAAUUCAUGUUUGUAGGAAGGGCACCCCUGCACAAUUCUGAAUCUGGAGCAAAAAGGUAGCUCUGUCCCAGAAAACUUUAUUCACCUUCUUAAAAAAAAAGAUUUUUCUUUUUACCAAAAAACCCCCAAAUCUAUCUGUGGGGCAUACAUUACUGACUUUUUUGGUAUUUGAUAUCAUCACUUUAAGUAUAAGGAACAUCUCUCAAACUAGAAGUAACUUCUUAACCAGUUGUAUCAUGAUCAAACUGCUGGGAACCUAAAAUAAGAUUAGAUACUAAGCAAAUAUUUCAAGCAGUAAGGUCAAUUAG
Alligator mississippiensis (American alligator) is the source of this 3962-nucleotide long non-coding RNA. RefSeq lists it as uncharacterized. Lineage: Eukaryota; Metazoa; Chordata; Crocodylia; Alligatoridae. The record is from RefSeq and is a predicted model, not a curated record. The transcript has 5 exons.